Molecule: transfer RNA, 75 nt
Filed under: Candidatus Pelagibacteraceae bacterium
Lineage: Bacteria; Pseudomonadati; Pseudomonadota; Alphaproteobacteria; Candidatus Pelagibacterales; Candidatus Pelagibacteraceae
Description: tRNA-His
Rfam family: tRNA
About the family: Transfer RNA (tRNA) molecules are approximately 80 nucleotides in length. Their secondary structure includes four short double-helical elements and three loops (D, anti-codon, and T loops).
Source: RNAcentral
GCCCCUGUGGUGAAAUAGUAAUCACGCAAGUUUGUGGAACUUGAGUCUUUGGUGCGAUUCCAAGCGGGGGUACCA